UACGUAGGGUGCAAGCGUUGUCCGGAAUUAUUGGGCGUAAAGAGCUCGUAGGCGGUCUGUCGCGUCUGCUGUGAAAAUCCAGGGCUCGACCCUGGACCUGCAGUGGGUACGGGCAGACUAGAGUGCGGUAGGGGAGACUGGAAUUCCUGGUGUAGCGGUGAAAUGCGUAGAUAUCCGGAGGAACACCGGUGGCGAAGGCGGCUUCCUGGACCGACACUGACGCUGAGGCGCGAAAGCUAGGGGAGCAAACGGG
RNAcentral lists this ribosomal RNA (253 nucleotides) under uncultured bacterium. RNAcentral's name for it is "partial 16S ribosomal RNA". It matches the Rfam family "Bacterial small subunit ribosomal RNA", at positions 524 to 776 of the family's 1533-position model. The record is from RNAcentral.